This is a long non-coding RNA of Acinonyx jubatus (cheetah), 419 nucleotides long. RefSeq lists it as uncharacterized. The transcript has 3 exons. The record is from RefSeq and is a predicted model, not a curated record. NCBI's taxonomy places the organism in Eukaryota, Metazoa, Chordata, Mammalia, Carnivora, Felidae.
GUCUCCUUACAUACAUCAUGAAGAGUUCUUCUUCCUUUGAAUAGAGAACAUGAAGUUGCCUAAGUAACAAAAAUGUUUUAUGAGAUGCUUUUUGGAAAGGAAUAGGACCUUCCUCACUUAAAGCUUUCUGAAACUUUGUGGAUUAUACCUCACAAAUGACCUGCAGCGUAGUCUAUCUAAUUUUCUCCAUAUCCUGAUGGUCACUUCAUGGAAUGGCUACUCAUCCAGCUAUGUAGUCUUACACAGGAUGUUUUUUUUUCCCCCCGCAGUUUACUCAAACAGUACACAAUUGGAUUGUCUCUGAAUUGGAAGUUCCUUUUUCAGGAAGAGUGAAGGUGACUUUUAAGCCAGAUUCACUGGUCUGAUUUUCAAACUGCUAGAACACUUGCAUGGAAAUGUGUCACAUCAGUUAUGAACCU